AUACUCUCUGUUCUUCCUCCAUUGUUCUAGAGAGUUAAGAUCCAGAGAACUAAGGGACAAUCUUUUUGUGUCACCAAGGAAUCAGAAUGAAGACCCUGUUUGUCCUAGCGGCUGUCGCUGUUUUCAGUGGUGUGGUGUCUAGUCAAAAAUACAUCUCAGUAGACGGUAAAUUGCCAUGUAAACCGUGCAACCAUGACGACAUUCCUCUUGGACAAUUUAAAUUGUUAAACCCAAUCUGUGGGCCUUGUGGUGAAAUGUACGGGCCAUCUUUUGAAUUCUGCUGUAUGUGUGACCGGAAGAUCAGACGCGCAUGCGAAGAAGCCAUCCGGAAGUAGGAAUAAAAGAACGGAAUUUUAAAAAUCCUUUGUCAAACAAUUUUUACACAGAGUGUGUUUGAUCUCAGUAGUAGUUUGCAAUAAAAAUAUUUUUUAUUAAAA
Saccostrea cuccullata (small rock oyster) is the source of this 437-nucleotide long non-coding RNA. RefSeq lists it as uncharacterized. NCBI's taxonomy places the organism in Eukaryota, Metazoa, Mollusca, Bivalvia, Ostreida, Ostreidae. The transcript has 2 exons. The record is from RefSeq and is a predicted model, not a curated record.